UCGUCCAUGCUCGCGGCCUAUCAGCUUGUUGGUGGGGUAAUGGCCUACCAAGGCUUCGACGGGUAGCCGGCCUGAGAGGGCGACCGGCCACACUGGGACUGAGAUACGGCCCAGACUCCUACGGGAGGCAGCAGUGGGGAAUAUUGCACAAUGGGCGAAAGCCUGAUGCAGCGACGCCGCGUGAGGGAUGAAGGCCUUCGGGUUGUAAACCUCUUUCGGCAGGGACGAAGCGCAAGUGACGGUACCUGCAGAAGAAGCGCCGGCCAACUACGUGCCAACAGCCGCGGUAAGACGUAGGGCGCAAGCGUUGUCCGGAUUUAUUGGGCGUAAAGAGCUCGUAGGCGGCCUGUCGCGUCGACUGUGAAAAACCACGACUCAACCGUGGGGCUGCAGUCGAUACGGGCAGGCUAGAGUUCGGUAGGGGAGACUGGAAUUCCUGGUGUAGCGGUGAAAUGCGCAGAUAUCAGGAGGAACACCGGUGGCGAAGGCGGGUCUCUGGGCCGAUACUGACGCUGAGGAGCGAAAGCGUGGGGAGCGAACAGGAUUAGAUACCCUGGUAGUCCACGCUGUAAACGUUGGGCGCUAGGUGUGGGGGGCCUCUCCGGUCCUCUGUGCCGCAGCUAACGCAUUAAGCGCCCCGCCUGGGGAGUACGG
This 654-nucleotide ribosomal RNA is filed under the name Luedemannella flava. RNAcentral describes it as "bacterial SSU rRNA". It matches the Rfam family "Bacterial small subunit ribosomal RNA", at positions 221 to 885 of the family's 1533-position model. The record is from RNAcentral. Lineage: Bacteria; Bacillati; Actinomycetota; Actinomycetes; Micromonosporales; Micromonosporaceae.